CCUACGGGAGGCAGCAGUGGGGAAUCUUGCGCAAUGGACGAAAGUCUGAUGCAGCAACGCCGCGUGGAGGAUGACACAUUUCGGUGCGUAAACUCCUUUUAUAUGGGAAGAUAAUGACGGUACCAUAUGAAUAAGCACCAGCUGACUCCGUGCCAGCAGCCGCGGUAAUA
RNAcentral lists this ribosomal RNA (170 nucleotides) under uncultured Sulfurovum sp. RNAcentral describes it as "partial 16S ribosomal RNA". It matches the Rfam family "Bacterial small subunit ribosomal RNA", at positions 338 to 525 of the family's 1533-position model. Lineage: Bacteria; Pseudomonadati; Campylobacterota; Epsilonproteobacteria; Campylobacterales; Sulfurovaceae. The record is from RNAcentral.